Molecule: ribosomal RNA, 656 nt
Filed under: uncultured bacterium
Lineage: Bacteria
Description: bacterial SSU rRNA
Rfam family: Bacterial small subunit ribosomal RNA
Source: RNAcentral
GGGGACAACAGCCAGAAAUGGCUGCUAAUACCGCAUAAGCCUGCUGUGCCGCAUGGCACAGCAGGGAAAACCACGGAGGUACAGGAUGGGCCCGCGUCUGAUUAGUUAGUUGGCAGGGUAACGGCCUACCAAGACAACGAUCAGUAGCCGGCUUGAGAGAGUGGACGGCCACAUUGGGACUGAGACACGGCCCAGACUCCUGCGGGAGGCAGCAGUGGGGAAUAUUGCACAAUGGGGGGAACCCUGAUGCAGCAAUGCCGCGUGGGUGAAGAAGCACUCCGGUGCGUAAAGCCCUGUCAGCAGGGAAGAAAAUGACAGUACCUGGACAAGAAGCCCCGGCUAACUACGUGCCAGCAGCCGCGGUAAUACGUAGGGGGCAAGCGUUAUCCGGAUUUACUGGGUGUAAAGGGAGCGCAGGCGGCGUGGCAAGUCAGAUGUGAAAACCCGGGGCCCAACCCCGGGAGUGCAUUUGAAACUGCCAUGCUGGAGUGCCGGAGAGGUAAGCGGAAUUCCUAGUGUAGCGGUGAAAUGCGUAGAUAUUAGGAGGAACACCAGUGGCGGAGGCGGCUUACUGGACGGUAACUGACGCUGAGGCUCGAAAGCGUGGGGAGCAAACAGGAUUAGAUACCCUGGUAGUCCACGCCGUAAACGAUGAA